CCUACGGGUGGCUGCAGUGGGGAAUAUUGGACAAUGGGGGGAACCCUGAUCCAGCCAUGCCGCGUGUGUGAAGAAGGCCCUCGGGUUGUAAAGCACUUUCAGUGAGGAAGAACGCCUGGUGGUUAAUACCCAUCAGGAAAGACAUCACUCACAGAAGAAGCACCGGCUAACUCCGUGCCAGCAGCCGCGGUAAUACGGAGGGUGCGAGCGUUAAUCGGAAUUACUGGGCGUAAAGCGCGCGUAGGUGGCUUGAUAAGCCGGUUGUGAAAGCCCCGGGCUCAACCUGGGAACGGCAUCCGGAACUGUCAAGCUAGAGUGCAGGAGAGGAAGGUAGAAUUCCCGGUGUAGCGGUGAAAUGCGUAGAGGUCGGGAGGAAUACCAGUGGCGAAGGCGGCCUUCUGGACUGACACUGACACUGAGGUGCGAAAGCGUGGGUAGCAAACAGGAUUAGAUACCCCAGUAGUC
Molecule: ribosomal RNA, 465 nt
Filed under: Vreelandella stevensii
Lineage: Bacteria; Pseudomonadati; Pseudomonadota; Gammaproteobacteria; Oceanospirillales; Halomonadaceae
Description: partial 16S ribosomal RNA
Rfam family: Bacterial small subunit ribosomal RNA
Source: RNAcentral